GACGAACGCUGGCGGCGUGCUUAACACAUGCAAGUCGAACGGUGAAGCGCCUUCCUUUUUGGUGGGUGUGGAUGAGUGGCGAACGGGUGAGUAACACGUGAGUAACCUGCCCCCUUCUUCUGGAUAACCGCAUGAAAGUGUGGCUAAUACGGGAUAUUCUGGGUCUGUCGCAUGAUGGGUCUGGGAAAGAUAUUGUUUCGGUGGGGGAUGGGCUCGCGGCCUAUCAGCUUGUUGGUGGGGUGAUGGCCUACCAAGGCGGUGACGGGUAGCCGGCCUGAGAGGGUGGACGGUCACACUGGGACUGAGACACGGCCCAGACUCCUACGGGAGGCAGCAGUGGGGAAUAGUGCACAAUGGGCGCAAGCCUGAUGCAGCGACGCCGCGUGAGGGAUGGAGGCCGUCGGGUUGUGAACCUCUUUCGCCAGUGAAGCAGGCCUGCCUCGUUUGUGGGUGGGUUGACGGUAGCUGGAUAAGAAGCGCCGGCUAACUACGUG
Molecule: ribosomal RNA, 494 nt
Filed under: uncultured bacterium
Lineage: Bacteria
Description: partial 16S ribosomal RNA
Rfam family: Bacterial small subunit ribosomal RNA
Source: RNAcentral